This 440-nucleotide ribosomal RNA is filed under the name uncultured bacterium. RNAcentral's name for it is "partial 16S ribosomal RNA". It matches the Rfam family "Bacterial small subunit ribosomal RNA", at positions 338 to 795 of the family's 1533-position model. The record is from RNAcentral.
CCUACGGGAGGCAGCAGUGGGGAAUAUUGCACAAUGGGGGAAACCCUGAUGCAGCGACGCCGCGUGAAGGAAGAAGUAUUUCGGUAUGUAAACUUCUAUCAGCAGGGAAGAACAUGACGGUACCUGACUAAGAAGCCCCGGCUAACUACGUGCCAGCAGCCGCGGUAAUACGUAGGGGGCAAGCGUUAUCCGGAUUUACUGGGUGUAAAGGGAGCGUAGGCGGGUAUGCAAGUCAGAAGUGAAAGCCCGGGGGUCAACACCGGGACUGCUUUUGAAACUGUGUUGCUAGAUUGCAGGAGAGGUAAGUGGAAUUCCUAGUGUAGCGGUGAAAUGCGUAGAUAUUAGGAAGAACACCAGUGGCGAAGGCAGCUUACUGGACUGUAAAUGACGCUGAGGCUCGAAAGCGUGGGGAGCAAACAGGAUUAGAUACCCUGGUAGUC